This 494-nucleotide ribosomal RNA is filed under the name uncultured bacterium. RNAcentral's name for it is "bacterial SSU rRNA". It matches the Rfam family "Bacterial small subunit ribosomal RNA", at positions 21 to 507 of the family's 1533-position model. The record is from RNAcentral.
GGCUCAGGAUGAACGCUAGCUACAGGCUUAACACAUGCAAGUCGAGGGGCAGCGCAGUGUAGCAAUACAUGGGCGGCGACCGGCGCACGGGUNCGUAACACGUAUCCAAUCUACCCAUGGCUCGGGGAUAGCCUUUCGAAAGAAAGAUUAAUACCCCGGAUGGUCUCGGUUUAAGGCAUCUUAGACUGAGUAAAGAUUUAUCGGCGAUGGAUGAGGAUGCGUCUGAUUAGGUAGAUGGCGGGUAACGGCCCACCAUGCCUACGAUCAGUAGGGGUUCUGAGAGGAAGGUCCCCCACACUGGAACUGAGACACGGUCCAGACUCCUACGGGAGGCAGCAGUGAGGAAUAUUGGUCAAUGGUCGGAAGACUGAACCAGCCAAGUAGCGUGAAGGAUGAAGGUUCUAUGGAUUGUAAACUUCUUUUAUACGGGAAUAAAACCUCCCACGUGUGGGAGCUUGUAUGUACCGUAUGAAUAAGCAUCGGCUAACUCCGUG